AACGAACGCUGGCGGCAUGCCUAAUACAUGCAAGUCGAACGAGAUCUUCGGAUCUAGUGGCGCACGGGUGCGUAACGCGUGGGAAUCUGCCCUUGGGUUCGGAAUAACUUCUGGAAACGGAAGCUAAUACCGGAUGAUGACGUAAGUCCAAAGAUUUAUCGCCCAAGGAUGAGCCGGCGUAGGAUUAGGUAGUUGGUGAGGUAAAGGCUCACCAAGCCGACGAUCCUUAGCUGGUCUGAGAGGCUGAUCAGCCACACUGGGACUGAGAAACGGCCCAGACUCCUACGGGAGGCAGCAGUAGGGAAUAUUGGACCAUGGGCGGAAGCCUGAUCCAGCAAGGCCGGGUGAGUGAUGAAGGCCUUAGGGUUGUAAAGCUCUAGUAACCGGGAUGAUAUUGACAGUACCGGGAGAAUAAGCUCCGGCUAACUCCGUG
RNAcentral lists this ribosomal RNA (433 nucleotides) under uncultured bacterium. RNAcentral describes it as "partial 16S ribosomal RNA". It matches the Rfam family "Bacterial small subunit ribosomal RNA", at positions 29 to 507 of the family's 1533-position model. The record is from RNAcentral.